RNAcentral lists this ribosomal RNA (406 nucleotides) under uncultured bacterium. RNAcentral's name for it is "partial 16S ribosomal RNA". It matches the Rfam family "Bacterial small subunit ribosomal RNA", at positions 30 to 526 of the family's 1533-position model. The record is from RNAcentral.
AUUGAACGCUGGCGGCAGGCUUAACACAUGCAAGUCGAACGAGUGGCGGACGGGUGGGUAAUGUAUGGGAAACUGCCUGAUGGAGGGGGCUAACUACUGGAAACGGUAGCUAAUACCGCAUACCAUCAGAUGUGCCCAGGUGGGAUUAUCUUGUUGGUGGGGUAACGGCUCACCAAGGCGAGGAUCCCUAGCUGGUCUGAGAGGAUGACCAGCCACACGGGAACUGAGACAUGGUCCAGACUCCUACGGGGGGAAGCAGUGGGGAAUAUUGCACAAUGGGCGAAAGCCUGAUGCAGCAAUGCCGCGUGUAUGAAGAAGGCGUUCGGGUUGUAAAGUACUUUCGGCGGGGAGGCGUUACCCGCAGAAGAAGCACCGGCUAACUCCGUGCCAGCAGCCGCGGUAAUAC